GCUUAGAAAUAAUUAAGGGAAAGGCAAGAUGGGGGUUGGGGGUGAGGUGUUAGCUCAGACCUCUUUCACUGUCAUAAUUUUCUAACUGAUAUAAUUUUUGCAAAGGUGGUUUCAUUGUCUUGAGUGCUUUACUAAUGUUAACUUGUUUAACUAUGACCAUAUUCAUCCUUGUGCCUUUAUUCACAUUUAGUGUUCAAUGUAAGGAACCACUGACCCUACAGAACAGAGGUUUGAGUUGACUCUCACUUUUCAAAACUUCUGGAUAAUGGCAGUGCAACAAAACCAGUUUGGUUCUCUGAUCCUCAUAAAUGGGGAAAAACUCAUGAAAAAAAAUUAGAUGUACCGGAAGCACAAUAAAUACUUUGUAAAAAUUAUACAUCAAAAAAGAAGUAAAAGCAUAUUAUUUAGAAUUGUGUUGGCAACCGCUAGAAAAACAUGUUAAAUGUAUGUUAAAUAAAUGAACAUGCAAUCUUAAAAGCAAUGAAUGUAUAAAAAGCAUCCAUUGUGAACUGUUACCAGAAGGGGUUCCUGAUCCAGAUGCCAAGAGACAGUUCUUAACCCUUGAGCAAGAAAGAAUUCCGGGCAAGUCCAUACAGUAAAGUGAAAGCAAGUUUAUUAGGAGAGUAAAGGAAUAAAGAAUGGCUACUCCAUAGGCAGAACAGCAACUUGGGCUGCUUGACUGAGAAUACUUAUAGUUAUUUCUUGAUUAUAUGCUAAACAAGGGGUAGAUUAUUCAUGAGUUUUCUAGGAAAGAGGUGGAUAAUUCCCAGAACUGAGGGUUCUUCCCGUUUUUUAAACCACAUAGGGUAACUUCCUGACGUUGCCAUGGCAUUUGUAAACUGUCAUGUGCUGAUAGGAGUGUCUCUUAGCAUGCUAAUGCAUUAUAAUUAGCAUAUAAGGAACAGUGAAGAUGACCAGAUAUCACUUUCAUUGCCAUCUUGGUUUUGGUGGGUUUUGGCCAACUUCUUUACUGCAAACUGUUUAAUCAGCAAGGUCUUUGUCACCUUAUCUUGUGCCAACCUCCUAUCUCAUCCUGUGACUUAGAAUGCCUGCCCUCUUGGGAAUACAGCUCAGUAGGUCUCAGCCGUAUUUCACCCAGCCCCAAUUCAAGAUGGAGUUGCUCUGGUUCAAAUGCCUCUGACAUAUUUCUCCCUUCCCUUUUACAAGGGAACCCCUAAUCCAAAGGGUAGUAGAGGGAUGAAGAUCCAUCUGCUGUAACUUCUUCAGGCUGAAUCACGGCUAUGCUAUUCCUACCUAACUAUUGUGGUCUCUUGUAUUCAGGGUAGAGAGAAGCACAGUCAGAAGUCAUCACUAUGGUGAGGGCCAUUCAUAACUCUUGAGGGCAAAAGGUGAUAUCCGGAAGAUUAAAAAGUAUUCAAUUUAAUAAAACAUUGAGUAAGCUUAUCCUGCACUCCCACACAGAGUACAACAGCAAUAUAUUCCACAAUGGUAAAGCAAAAUAAGUAAAACUAUCCCAAGUAAACUAAAUUAGAAGGCUUUCCAUGAACUUGGCAAUGGUUGGAACUGGUCAAGCUGAUAUGAAGUUGCUGUACAUGCUAUAUGUUCCAAUACAUGAUCGGAAUUAGAAUAUUGAUCCAGAUUUUUACAUUACCCAUUUCUGUUAUUUUUUUCUGAGCAGCAGCCAGAGAUCACUGGUUAGUUGGCAGGAAUAAGUAGGGUUAGUCUAAAUUGCAAGAAAAAAAAAAAAA
Molecule: long non-coding RNA, 1709 nt
Organism: Macaca mulatta (Rhesus monkey)
Lineage: Eukaryota; Metazoa; Chordata; Mammalia; Primates; Cercopithecidae
Source: Ensembl